This 344-nucleotide ribosomal RNA is filed under the name uncultured bacterium. RNAcentral's name for it is "bacterial SSU rRNA". It matches the Rfam family "Bacterial small subunit ribosomal RNA", at positions 338 to 699 of the family's 1533-position model. The record is from RNAcentral.
CCUACGGGAGGCAGCAGUAGGGAAUCUUGGACAAUGGGGGCAACCCUGAUCCAGCCAUGCCGCGUGAGUGAAGAAGGCCCUAGGGUCGUAAAGCUCUUUCGCCUGUGAUGAUAAUGACAGUAGCAGGUAAAGAAACCCCGGCCAACUCCGUGCCGGCAGCCGCGGUAAUACGGAGGGGGUUAGCGUUGUUCGGAAUUACUGGGCGUAAAGCGCGCGUAGGCGGAUUGGAAAGUUGGGGGUGAAAUCCCGGGGCUCAACCCCGGAACUGCCUUCAAAACUCCCAGUCUAGAGUUCGAGAGAGGUGAGUGGAAUUCCGAGUGUAGAGGUGAAAUUCGUAGAUAUUC